This 253-nucleotide ribosomal RNA is filed under the name uncultured bacterium. RNAcentral describes it as "partial 16S ribosomal RNA". It matches the Rfam family "Bacterial small subunit ribosomal RNA", at positions 524 to 776 of the family's 1533-position model. The record is from RNAcentral.
UACGUAGGGGGCAAGCGUUGUCCGGAAUCAUUGGGCGUAAAGAGCGUGUAGGCGGCCCGAUAAGUCCGCUGUGAAAGUCCAGGGCUCAACCCUGGGAUGCCGGUGGAUACUGUCGGGCUCGAGUCCGGAAGAGGAGUGUGGAAUUCCUGGUGUAGCGGUGAAAUGCGCAGAUAUCAGGAAGAACACCCGUGGCGAAGGCGGUUCUCUGGGACGGUACUGACGCUGAGACGCAAAAGCGUGGGGAGCGAACAGG